UACGGAGGAUCCGAGCGUUAUCCGGAUUUAUUGGGUUUAAAGGGUGCGCAGGCGGGAGAUUAAGUCGGCGGUGAAAUUUUGCAGCUCAACUGUAAAAGUGCCUUCGAAACUGGUUUCCUUGAGUGUAGAUGAAGUAGGCGGAAUUUGUGGUGUAGCGGUGAAAUGCUUAGAUAUCACGAGGAACUCCGAUUGCGCAGGCAGCUUACUAAACCACUACUGACGCUCAUGCACGAAGGCGUGGGGAUCAAACAGGAUUAGAUACCCGGGUAGU
RNAcentral lists this ribosomal RNA (271 nucleotides) under uncultured prokaryote. Its description in RNAcentral is "partial 16S ribosomal RNA". It matches the Rfam family "Bacterial small subunit ribosomal RNA", at positions 524 to 794 of the family's 1533-position model. The record is from RNAcentral.